AUUGAACGCUGGCGGCAUGCUUUACACAUGCAAGUCGAACGGUAACAGGCCUUCGGGUGCUGACGAGUGGCGAACGGGUGAGUAAUGCAUCGGAACGUGCCCAGAGGUGGGGGAUAACGCAGCGAAAGCUGUGCUAAUACCGCAUGUGAUCUGAGGAUGAAAGCGGGGGACCAAGCAGCAAUGUUUGGCCUCGCGCCUCUGGAGCGGCCGAUGUCAGAUUAGGUAGUUGGUGGGGUAAAGGCCUACCAAGCCGACGAUCUGUAGCUGGUCUGAGAGGACGACCGGCCACACUGGAACUGAGACACGGCCCAGACUCCUACGGGAGGCAGCAGUGGGGAAUUUUGGACAAUGGGCGCAAGCCUGAUCCAGCAAUGCCGCGUGCGGGAAGAAGGCCUUCGGGUUGUAAACCGCUUUUGUACGGAAAGAAAAGGCUCUGGCUAAUACCUGGGGCUGAUGACGGUACCGGAAGAAUAAGCACCGGCUAACUACGUG
RNAcentral lists this ribosomal RNA (492 nucleotides) under uncultured bacterium. RNAcentral describes it as "partial 16S ribosomal RNA". It matches the Rfam family "Bacterial small subunit ribosomal RNA", at positions 29 to 507 of the family's 1533-position model. The record is from RNAcentral.